RNAcentral lists this ribosomal RNA (263 nucleotides) under uncultured bacterium. RNAcentral's name for it is "partial 16S ribosomal RNA". It matches the Rfam family "Bacterial small subunit ribosomal RNA", at positions 524 to 786 of the family's 1533-position model. The record is from RNAcentral.
UACGUAGGGGGCAAGCGUUAUCCGGAUUUACUGGGUGUAAAGGGAGCGUAGGUGGUUCGGUAAGUCAGAUGUGAAAACCCGGGGCUCAACCCCGGGACUGCAUUUGAAACUAUCGGACUAGAGUGCAGGAGAGGUAAGUGGAAUUCCUAGUGUAGCGGUGAAAUGCGUAGAUAUUAGGAGGAACACCAGUGGCGAAGGCGGCUUACUGGACUGUAACUGACACUGAGGCUCGAAAGCGUGGGGAGCAAACAGGAUUAGAUACC